CCUACGGGAGGCAGCAGUGAGGAAUAUUGGUCAAUGGGCGCGAGCCUGAACCAGCCAAGUAGCGUGAAGGAUGACUGCCCUACGGGUUGUAAACUUCUGUUAUAAAGGAAUAAAGUGAGGCACGUGUGCCUUUUUGUAUGUACUUUCUGAAUAAGGAUCGGCUCACUCCGUGCCAGAAGCCGCGGUAAUACGGAGGAUCCAGGCGUUAGCCGGAUUUAUUGGGUUUAAAGGGAGCGUAGAUGGGUUGUUAGUGCAGUUGUGAAAGUUUGCGGCUCAACAGUAAAAUUGCAAUUGAUACUGGCAGCCUUGAGUACAGUUGAGGUAGGCGGAAUUCGUGGUGUAGCGGUGAAAUGCUUAGAUAUCACGAAGAACUCCGAUUGCGAAGGCAGCCUACUAAACUGCCACUGACAUUGAUGCUCGAAAGUGUGGGUAUCAAACAGGAUUAGAUACCCUGGUAGUC
RNAcentral lists this ribosomal RNA (460 nucleotides) under uncultured bacterium. RNAcentral's name for it is "partial 16S ribosomal RNA". It matches the Rfam family "Bacterial small subunit ribosomal RNA", at positions 338 to 795 of the family's 1533-position model. The record is from RNAcentral.